Molecule: small nuclear RNA, 107 nt
Organism: Homo sapiens (human)
Lineage: Eukaryota; Metazoa; Chordata; Mammalia; Primates; Hominidae
Source: Ensembl
UUGCUCGCUUCGACAGCACAUGUACUAAAAUUGUAACGAUACAGAGAAGAUUAGCAUGGCCCUUGCGCAAGGACGACAUGCGGACUCCUGAAGCGUUCUAUAUUUUU